GACGAACGCUGGCGGCGUGCCUAAUACAUGCAAGUCGAGCGAAGGCGGAUGGGGGAGUAACGCGUGGGUAAACUGCCACUAAGUCUGGGGUACCAUUUGGAAACAGAUGCUAAUACCGGAUACGAAAGGAUGGGGCUGCGAUGCAUUAGCGAGUGGGUAAGGUAACUGCUUACCAAGGCGCGUAUGCAUAGCCGGGUUGAGAGACUGAUCGGCCACAUUGGGACUGAGACACGGCCCAAACUCCUACGGUAGGCAGCAGUAGGGAAUCUUCCACAAUGGACGAAAGUCUGAUAGAGCAACGCCGCGUGAGUGAAGAAGGUUUUCGGAUCGUAAAGCUCUGUUGUUGGUGAAGCGGUAAUCAACCAGAAAGUCACGGCUAACUACGUGCCAGCCGCCGCGGUAAUAC
RNAcentral lists this ribosomal RNA (406 nucleotides) under uncultured bacterium. RNAcentral's name for it is "partial 16S ribosomal RNA". It matches the Rfam family "Bacterial small subunit ribosomal RNA", at positions 28 to 526 of the family's 1533-position model. The record is from RNAcentral.